ACACAUACGAGGGUCAUGUCCCUCUCAACAUCAUUUUUUUACCCUAAAACCUACACACAGACAACACCAUCGCACACCAUCUCUCGUUGUUUCGAAGAUCGCCAGAGAUUUGGAGAUACGAGGACGUCACCGGAGUGCCGAAACCUUGUCGGAACCAUGAAGAGGUACUGGUGGGAACCCGAAGACGCUGCCGGAGCUACGUAUCCUCGCCAGAGCUCACGUCGGAAGACUAACCGGAGUUCACCGGAGCCGCCUGAGGUUCGCAACGGUACCACGUCAUCGCCAUAGUCUCAUUCGAACCCCUUCACAUUCACCGGAGCUUUACCGGGGUUCGAAGAUCACGUCGGAACUCGGAACUCUCGUCGGAAGACUAACCAGAAUUCACGUUGAAUACAAACCGCCACGUUCGGAUAACCAUACGUUCGUUCUCUUGGAUAUUCUCAAUCUUUACUCGUGCGUUAUUUCAAGGAAUCUCCAAACGCAACCAAUGAUUUGGAUGAUGCAAGGAAUCUAGUAGGACUACCUAGAAACACAUUUAAACUCUAAUACUUGUUGUACUAUAACUUAUUUUCAAACAUGUUGUAAUUGUUUCCAAUCUUUGUAUGAGACCAUUACGCAAUGAAAUGAAAUGAAACUUAAUUA
Molecule: long non-coding RNA, 642 nt
Organism: Helianthus annuus (common sunflower)
Lineage: Eukaryota; Viridiplantae; Streptophyta; Magnoliopsida; Asterales; Asteraceae
Exons: 2
Source: RefSeq, a predicted model, not a curated record